GUGUCAGCCGCCGCGGUAAUACGAAGGGGGCUAGCGUUGCUCGGAAUGACUGGGCGUAAAGGGCGCGUAGGCGGACGGCACAGUCAGGCGUGAAAUUCCUGGGCUCAACCUGGGGACUGCGUCUGAGACGUGUUGUCUUGAGUAUGGAAGAGGGUUGUGGAAUUUCCAGUGUAGAGGUGAAAUUCGUAGAUAUUGGAAAGAACACCGGUGGCGAAGGCGGCAACCUGGUCCAUUACUGACGCUGAGGCGCGAAAGCGUGGGGAGCAAACAGGAUUAGAUACCCGCGUAGUCC
This 292-nucleotide ribosomal RNA is filed under the name uncultured Acidiphilium sp. RNAcentral describes it as "partial 16S ribosomal RNA". It matches the Rfam family "Bacterial small subunit ribosomal RNA", at positions 505 to 796 of the family's 1533-position model. Lineage: Bacteria; Pseudomonadati; Pseudomonadota; Alphaproteobacteria; Acetobacterales; Acidocellaceae. The record is from RNAcentral.